Molecule: ribosomal RNA, 463 nt
Filed under: Vreelandella stevensii
Lineage: Bacteria; Pseudomonadati; Pseudomonadota; Gammaproteobacteria; Oceanospirillales; Halomonadaceae
Description: partial 16S ribosomal RNA
Rfam family: Bacterial small subunit ribosomal RNA
Source: RNAcentral
CCUCGGGAGCAGCAGUGGGGAAUAUUGGACAAUGGGCGAAAGCCUGAUCCAGCCAUGCCGCGUGUGUGAAGAAGGCCUUCGGGUUGUAAAGCACUUUCAGUGGGGAAGAAAGCCUUGGGGCUAAUACCCUCGAGGAAGGACAUCACCCACAGAAGAAGCACCGGCUAACUCCGUGCCAGCAGCCGCGGUAAUACGGAGGGUGCGAGCGUUAAUCGGAAUUACUGGGCGUAAAGCGCGCGUAGGCGGUCUGAUAAGCCGGUUGUGAAAGCCCCGGGCUCAACCUGGGAACGGCAUCCGGAACUGUCAGGCUAGAGUGCAGGAGAGGAAGGUAGAAUUCCCGGUGUAGCGGUGAAAUGCGUAGAGAUCGGGAGGAAUACCAGUGGCGAAGGCGGCCUUCUGGACUGACACUGACGCUGAGGUGCGAAAGCGUGGGUAGCAAACAGGAUUAGAUACCCGAGUAGUC